GCGAACGGGUGAGUAACACGUGGGCAAUCUGCCCUUCACUCUGGGACAAGCCCUGGAAACGGGGUCUAAUACCGGAUAACACUUCUGCUCUCAUGGGCAGGGGUUAAAAGCUCCGGCGGUGAAGGAUGAGCCCGCGGCCUAUCAGCUUGUUGGUGAGGUAAUGGCUCACCAAGGCGACGACGGGUAGCCGGCCUGAGAGGGCGACCGGCCACACUGGGACUGAGACACGGCCCAGACUCCUACGGGAGGCAGCAGUGGGGAAUAUUGCACAAUGGGCGAAAGCCUGAUGCAGCGACGCCGCGUGAGGGAUGACGGCCUUCGGGUUGUAAACCUCUUUCAGCAGGGAAGAAGCGAAAGUGACGGUACCUGCAGAAGAAGCGCCGGCUAACUACGUGCCAGCAGCCGCGGUAAUACGUAGGGCGCAAGCGUUGUCCGGAAUUAUUGGGCGUAAAGAGCUCGUAGGCGGCUUGUCACGUCGGGUGUGAAAGCCCGGGGCUUAACCCCGGGUCUGCAUUCGAUACGGGCUAGCUAGAGUGUGGUAGGGGAGAUCGGAAUUCCUGGUGUAGCGGUGAAAUGCGCAGAUAUCAGGAGGAACACCGGUGGCGAAGGCGGAUCUCUGGGCCAUUACUGACGCUGAGGAGCGAAAGCGUGGGGAGCGAACAGGAUUAGAUACCCUGGUAGUCCA
Molecule: ribosomal RNA, 685 nt
Filed under: Streptomyces sp. MC_MPS_4e
Lineage: Bacteria; Bacillati; Actinomycetota; Actinomycetes; Kitasatosporales; Streptomycetaceae
Description: bacterial SSU rRNA
Rfam family: Bacterial small subunit ribosomal RNA
Source: RNAcentral